UUUUGUUGUUACAGCAAUCGGAUGUUCCAGUUUUAAACUCACUUGAUAAGGAAGGAAAAGAAUCAUUUCAUUCAGAUUCUUUACAACGGUUGUUAUACCCACCACAACCAAAUUUGACAAUUAAACUUGCCUGGAACACUGGUUUUAAAUUUGGUUCUGAUUGCUGUAGCAGAUACUCUAUCAGUUUUCAUCGUGUUUCACCUAAACGUCAGUUCCUUUUCGAGCACUUGUUAUAUAGAACAAAAGUGUAUACAUCUGACAAUUUCUGUGAAGAUGCACAGCCUGCAUUUAAUCCAUACAUUGUUAAGCCUGCUUAUUAGGAUAACUGUAAACUGUAUGCAAAAUUUAAAACUUGUAACACUUGCAAUCAUGUAACACUUGCAAUCAAAUCAUUUUAACUAAAUAUUCUAUGUAUAUAGGCACUUUUAUGUUAUAUCAUUAAUGAUGAUUUUUAAAGUACAAAUGAUACACAUAUGGUCACUGUCGUUUUAUUGGAAACCAAAACUACUCUGAGACGUGUAUAAAAAGGAUGUUGUAUGGCCGAAAUGACAAGACUAAUAUUCAGGAUGUUUAUGUAUGAUAAUUGAAAGGAACAUUAUUUGUUAACUACAAAAUACAUAUUGAUACGUAGUGUUGUAUCUAGCAUCUAUCAAUCACAAUAAAAACGUUCAUAGUGCAGACGUGACAUCAGAAACAUUUUGCAGGGAACAGAUAAUUUAUGUCAGUAUUUUACAAAAUAAUACCGAUAGUCAGUGAAAAAUAUAGUGACUGUAAAUAUAUGUAUAUAUAUUUAUUAUAAGAUAAUAUAUAGUAUAUAAGCGGCAAGUAGUAGAUCUCAAUCUUAUAUACUUUGAUGAAAAGCUAAAAGCUUGUAUUGAUGAUCCCCCUGCUCAGCCAUGUUCAGGCUUUGGGUUUUUUUUAAAAAAGGCCAAAGGUCACCACUUGCUUUUUCAAUAGCUUUUUCCAGAUUUUGAAAUUUUGUAAAUAGGACUAAUGAAGACAGGAAUGUGUCUUGUGUUCAUUUUGCGACGUAAGGAAAUGUCUUUCUACCUUAUUUGAAACAGUCCCUUUAUACAGUAAAUGAAAUGUAUUUUGUUUCUCAAACUUAUUGAAGAGGGCAAAAUAAAUUAUGCCAUUGUUAUGUAUUUUAUUUACUUUUUCUUAUGAAAAAAUGGAAUGAAAAUACGUACGUUUGUUAAGACUGUAUUGAUACUACAUCUUAGAAACAAGUGCAGCACAUUUUGGCAUGUAACAUCAGUAACGCUUAAAAUUGUAGAGUUAAACAUGGUAAAUAAGGAAAAUAGUUGGUUUUUGUCAGUAUAUUUAAAAUAUUUUAAACAAAUAUCUUAGUUUUAUGGUUAUUCAAUUACUUUUAACCAGAGCGGCCUAAAUUUGUCACCGAUAACGCAGUGUAACAUUUUUACAUGUUUCACCUGUAAGUAUGAAAGAUAACUGUAUGUUAUUGGUAAAUUAUUGGUUAAUUAUGAUAUAUAUCAUUCUUUACCUCUUUAACUGUUUUUGGACUUUCUGCAUACUUUAUUAUACGAGUAAACAGUUUAUCACGACAGUUAGUUAUAAGUAAAUAUAUAUAAAGUGUUUGUUUAUUAUAACGACAACCCUACUGAAAGGACCAGCCAUGUUGACUGAUGGAACAGUUUCAUACAUUAAACAGCAUUACUUCCUGA
Long non-coding RNA from Mercenaria mercenaria, 1685 nucleotides. RefSeq lists it as uncharacterized. Lineage: Eukaryota; Metazoa; Mollusca; Bivalvia; Venerida; Veneridae. The transcript is spliced from 2 exons. The record is from RefSeq and is a predicted model, not a curated record.